AAUGCUGGAAUUAUGGGAAUGGAAUGAAAGCCCAGGAUACCUCAGGAAAUAAAUGCUACUUUCUCUCUGUAGAGGAAUUAAUUCACCAGAUACCUGGGAGAGGACACUCCGCCCUUGGACUUCAUGCCACGUGGAGGACAUCAAGCUGGCCAGACUCCAGCUAGGACGAAAGUUGUUACUUUGAGCGCUGUUUUCUGAAGAACCUUGUGAGAUGCGGGAUGUGCCUUCCCCUGACACUGAGGCUUGCAAGUCAGUCUGGUGCCUUGAAAAUUGUGCUGAUCGGUCAUAAUACACGUGUAGCAACAAUUUGAGGAUGGAGAAUGCCCCUGUCUUGUUUCUUCAUUGACCUUAGAGGGAGCCUAAGCAGAUACCUGAGGCUCAGCAUCUGAUUUUUACAAAAAAGAACCUAGACAAUUUUGAAAACUCAGUUGCAUGUCCAGUUGCACCACUGAAAACUAGACCUUGGGUGGACUGCUUCUUGCAGCUCAAGAAGGCUCUGAAGGCCUGAACCUGCUCUCCCCAUGUGUCAGCUCAAUCUCUUCACCUCUUUGAACUGAAUAAGACCUCUCCCAGAUGUUUUUUGUACUGAAAAUUUCAAUUCUUCUACGUUGCUGAGAAGAGAGUAGAACAGUCACCACCCAUCAACCUACGUCCUAUUCCCAAGAAUGCAGGUGGCAGGUCCAUAUUUCCCUGGAGAGCCCAGGUGUCUUACAGCUAGGACCUCAGAGAAAAAGAGCAGAACAUCUCUCAAAGGAAAGGCAAAUGUGACUUGGCACCUCUGUGUGUUGCUGGCUGAAAUGGAGCCCUUCCUUUCAGAGAGGUGGGAAGCACAUGCAUGUGUCGAAGAAGAGAAAGAACAGAGACUACUUGAAAAGGAAAAUGCCCUGAUGCACUAAGAAAAAGCAGACUUUGUUCCUCAGUGCAAGAUGACCCAUCUCAGGAAGGCAGAUUAGGUAAGUAGCUCAAUCAUCAGACCACUGUCUCGUUUGAGUAUCUCAGCAUACAAAAUGUUCUCCUACUUUGGCAUUUGUGCUAGUUUGAUUGGGCUGGAGAGAACUGCAGGGCAGCCCCUUUCUCUGAUGGCACAUUGAGACACUUCAGCCCAAGAAACAGGAGAAUGCCC
This 1123-nucleotide long non-coding RNA is filed under the name Corvus moneduloides (New Caledonian crow). RNAcentral's name for it is "lncRNA (ENSCMUG00000019667.1)". The record is from RNAcentral. Lineage: Eukaryota; Metazoa; Chordata; Aves; Passeriformes; Corvidae.